GUUGGUACGGGAAACAAGGAACAUUAUCCUCAUACAAAAAAAUAAGAUAAUUCUAAAUACAUGUUCCAAAAAAAUAUGGAAUUUAUUACAAAGGAUAAUCAUAAGAUAUACUGGAAUUGUCCUGGACCUCACUUCUGUAAUGGGUAUAUGUUAAUGGAAUCCUUCUCCGAAUACGGGACCAACAUAUUACUAGUGGUAGACCCCAAUGUCCAAUGAUCUUCAAUUUCUACCGAAUAUUGGCGGUCAAAAAAAUGCUAACAUUCCAAUUUUCAAUAACAGUUAACAGCAAAUACAUUAUCACAAUAACAGAUAACAAAAAAACUAAAAGCCCAAUAACAGCUAACAAUGAAUAAGACAAUAACAGCUAACCGCAAAUAUAUUUUCAGAAUAACAAAUAACAAAGAAUUAAAUUGCCCCAUAACAGCAUAACAGUUAAACCCCUUGCCCCCCUCUGAAAUGUUUGAAUAACCUUCUGAGAGAAAUAUCCGGAAUUUAACCCCGAUGACACAGAAAUCAAAAACGACACACAAAAAACCACAUCACAGGUCAACAUACAUUCUUCAAAAUAGGCAAGGUAAAUCUUGACAACAUUUCAGGUUCUAUAAAAUCGCCCAAUCUGAAGAAGUUCCAAAUGUUAGUUUCAAUGUGAUAUGUUUAAUGCUGCAUUGUAACAAUUGCUGGACAUGAAUCUUCAGUAUAGCCUUUGCUCAUUGUUGAAGGCCGUAUAGUGACCUAUAGUUGUUAAUUUCUGUGUCAUAUGGUCUCUUUUGAAGAGUUGUCUCAUUGGCAAUAAUACCACAUCUUCAUUUUUAUAUAUGCUUAAGCUGAUCAUCAUCUUUUAGAUUAAGUUUAUGAGACAGCUUAGAAGUGCAUUGAUCGAUAUACUUUAAAUACUUAAUCUAUAUAACAUGUAUAAUUACAUGAGAUAAAUAAAAUUGAGAAUGGAAUGGAAAUGAAUGUUUCAUUAUAAUACGUUAUUCUGAUUGGCUAACUGCAAUCUCGCGUUAUUCUUUAAUCAACUUCAUUACCCGAAAAAAUGUAUCAUUCAUGAUGACACGAUUCCCACAAUAAUUGAUUGAUUUUUGGUUGCUUAACGUCCAAGGGCAAAUAGUUCCCACAAUAAAGUGCACAGGUAAUUUAAAUAAAAAUUUGAUAAAAAUCGUGUUUUCAUGAUCCUAGCUAACAAUGUAAUUAUAGUUAUUCACUGCUUCUUUUUAUAACUUCAUAGGGUUGUAAAAGUGUUGACCGUGCGCACAUUAUUAGAAUGAAGCGCGCGCUUCGGUGAGCGCUUUUACACCCCAGUGAAAUUACAAAAAGAAGCAUGCAAUGCUUAUUUAACUGAACAGACAACGCAGACAUGUUUAGUCUUUAUAAUGAUCUUUUAGCGAAUAUUUAUCGUACCAAUUAGAUUACAUGUUCAGCAAGGUACACACAUAGUGCAUGUUUUGUUUGAUUUUCCAACAUUUCCUUCAGAAAGAAAUCAAAUUGACCAUAAUAUUUCACAUUAAUAAAUUCAGACUAUAUAUCACUUAAUAUAUGAUUACGUAGACAUUAAAUAUCCAGUAUAUUCCUGGUACCAUAAUCUAUAUAAAAAUUAAGGAUUCAAAUUAAGGGAAUGCCAUAUGGUUGUUAAUGAGACAACUAUAUGUCAGUUUGUUUUUCACGAGGAAACUAUCCGACUUUUCCCUGUCAGACAAACUGACCAAAG
Molecule: long non-coding RNA, 1708 nt
Filed under: Mytilus galloprovincialis (Mediterranean mussel)
Lineage: Eukaryota; Metazoa; Mollusca; Bivalvia; Mytilida; Mytilidae
Source: RNAcentral